RNAcentral lists this ribosomal RNA (760 nucleotides) under Prevotella melaninogenica. RNAcentral describes it as "bacterial SSU rRNA". It matches the Rfam family "Bacterial small subunit ribosomal RNA", at positions 28 to 776 of the family's 1533-position model. Lineage: Bacteria; Pseudomonadati; Bacteroidota; Bacteroidia; Bacteroidales; Prevotellaceae. The record is from RNAcentral.
GAUGAACGCUAGCUACAGGCUUAACACAUGCAAGUCGAGGGGAAACGGCAUUGAGUGCUUGCACUCUUUGGACGUCGACCGGCGCACGGGUGAGUAACGCGUAUCCAACCUUCCCAUUACUGUGGGAUAACCUGCCGAAAGGCAGACUAAUACCGCAUAGUCUUCGAUGACGGCAUCAGAUUUGAAGUAAAGAUUUAUCGGUAAUGGAUGGGGAUGCGUCUGAUUAGCUUGUUGGCGGGGUAACGGCCCACCAAGGCGACGAUCAGUAGGGGUUCUGAGAGGAAGGUCCCCCACAUUGGAACUGAGACACGGUCCAAACUCCUACGGGAGGCAGCAGUGAGGAAUAUUGGUCAAUGGACGGAAGUCUGAACCAGCCAAGUAGCGUGCAGGAUGACGGCCCUAUGGGUUGUAAACUGCUUUUGUAUGGGGAUAAAGUUAGGGACGUGUCCCUAUUUGCAGGUACCAUACGAAUAAGGACCGGCUAAUUCCGUGCCAGCAGCCGCGGUAAUACGGAAGGUCCAGGCGUUAUCCGGAUUUAUUGGGUUUAAAGGGAGCGUAGGCUGGAGAUUAAGUGUGUUGUGAAAUGUAGACGCUCAACGUCUGAAUUGCAGCGCAUACUGGUUUCCUUGAGUACGCACAACGUUGGCGGAAUUCGUCGUGUAGCGGUGAAAUGCUUAGAUAUGACGAAGAACUCCGAUUGCGAAGGCAGCUGACGGGAGCGCACUGACGCUUAAGCUCGAAGGUGCGGGUAUCAAACAGG